RNAcentral lists this ribosomal RNA (484 nucleotides) under Escherichia coli. RNAcentral's name for it is "bacterial SSU rRNA". It matches the Rfam family "Bacterial small subunit ribosomal RNA", at positions 108 to 588 of the family's 1533-position model. The record is from RNAcentral. Lineage: Bacteria; Pseudomonadati; Pseudomonadota; Gammaproteobacteria; Enterobacterales; Enterobacteriaceae.
GAGUAAUGUCUGGGAAACUGCCUGAUGGAGGGGGAUAACUACUGGAAACGGUAGCUAAUACCGCAUAACGUCGCAAGACCAAAGAGGGGGACCUUCGGGCCUCUUGCCAUCGGAUGUGCCCAGAUGGGAUUAGCUAGUAGGUGGGGUAACGGCUCACCUAGGCGACGAUCCCUAGCUGGUCUGAGAGGAUGACCAGCCACACUGGAACUGAGACACGGUCCAGACUCCUACGGGAGGCAGCAGUGGGGAAUAUUGCACAAUGGGCGCAAGCCUGAUGCAGCCAUGCCGCGUGUAUGAAGAAGGCCUUCGGGUUGUAAAGUACUUUCAGCGGGGAGGAAGGGAGUAAAGUUAAUACCUUUGCUCAUUGACGUUACCCGCAGAAGAAGCACCGGCUAACUCCGUGCCAGCAGCCGCGGUAAUACGGAGGGUGCAAGCGUUAAUCGGAAUUACUGGGCGUAAAGCGCACGCAGGCGGUUUGUUAAGU